CUGGAGCAAGAAGAUCCCAUGCUGUGACCCUCUAGAGGGAAGCGCUUUCUGUUGUCUGAAAGAAGAGAAAGUGCAUCCUUUUAGAGGUUUACUGUUUGAGGAAAGCAGCGGUGAAGUUG
Molecule: non-coding RNA, 119 nt
Organism: Gorilla gorilla gorilla (western lowland gorilla)
Lineage: Eukaryota; Metazoa; Chordata; Mammalia; Primates; Hominidae
Gene: MIR519C-1
Product: microRNA mir-519c-1
Exons: 1
Source: RefSeq, marked provisional